UAAUACAUGUGGUGCAAGCGUUGUUCGGAAUUACUGGGCAUAAAGGGUGCGUAGGCGGCGUCGUCAGUCUGGGGUGAAAUCCUGCGGCCCAACCGUGGGACUGCCUCGGAUACUGCGAUGCUCGAGUGCGUGAGGGGUGAUCGGAACGCGUGGUGUAGCGGUGAAAUGCGUAGAUAUCACGCGGAAGGCCAACGGCGAAGGCAGAUCACUGGCGCGCAACUGACGCUGAGUGCACGAAAGCGUGGGGAGCAAACAGG
This 257-nucleotide ribosomal RNA is filed under the name uncultured bacterium. RNAcentral's name for it is "partial 16S ribosomal RNA". It matches the Rfam family "Bacterial small subunit ribosomal RNA", at positions 521 to 776 of the family's 1533-position model. The record is from RNAcentral.